This 74-nucleotide transfer RNA is filed under the name Lophiodes caulinaris (spottedtail angler). Its description in RNAcentral is "tRNA-Leu". It matches the Rfam family "tRNA". From Rfam's summary of the family: Transfer RNA (tRNA) molecules are approximately 80 nucleotides in length. Their secondary structure includes four short double-helical elements and three loops (D, anti-codon, and T loops). The record is from RNAcentral. Lineage: Eukaryota; Metazoa; Chordata; Actinopteri; Lophiiformes; Lophiidae.
GUUAAGGUGGCAGAGCCCGGAUAAUGCAAGAGGCCUAAGCCCUCUCUACAGGGGUUCAACUCCUCUCCUUAACU